UACGAAGGGGGCUAGCGUUGCUCGGAAUUACUGGGCGUAAAGCGCACGUAGGCGGAUCGAUCAGUCAGGGGUGAAAUCCCAGGGCUCAACCCUGGAACUGCCUUUGAUACUGUCGAUCUGGAGUAUGGAAGAGGUGAGUGGAAUUCCGAGUGUAGAGGUGAAAUUCGUAGAUAUUCGGAGGAACACCAGUGGCGAAGGCGGCUCACUGGUCCAUUACUGACGCUGAGGUGCGAAAGCGUGGGGAGCGAACAGG
RNAcentral lists this ribosomal RNA (253 nucleotides) under uncultured bacterium. Its description in RNAcentral is "partial 16S ribosomal RNA". It matches the Rfam family "Bacterial small subunit ribosomal RNA", at positions 524 to 776 of the family's 1533-position model. The record is from RNAcentral.